RNAcentral lists this long non-coding RNA (1268 nucleotides) under Spirodela polyrhiza (greater duckweed). RNAcentral's name for it is "long non-coding RNA (SPOL_LNC001088)". Lineage: Eukaryota; Viridiplantae; Streptophyta; Magnoliopsida; Alismatales; Araceae. The record is from RNAcentral.
CGCCUGGCAGCCACGACUUCCCGAGGCCAGCGCACCGGCGGCGCCGCCGCUUCCGCCGGCGGAAGACACACGCCGUCCCCUGCGGCUCCGCCGCGAAUCGCGCCGCCGCUGCUCGUCCACUGGAGGGAACCACGAGAAUCCCGGUCAUUUCGCCGCCGUGGUCUCCUCCUCCACGGGGAAGAAGAAGAAGGAGAAGAAAUGGAGGUCGCCGUCGUCGUCGAUGGAGUUGCCGGUCGGCUCCCGCGCUGUCUCUCCUGCGGUUCGACGAGAAUCGCGGCCAUUUCGCCGCCGUGAUCUCCCCCGCGGGGAAGGAGAAAAGCAAGAGGAUAUCGCCGUCGUCGAUGGAGUUGGUUGGCCGGAUCCCCCUCGCUGUGGCUUCUGCGGCGGACACGGGAAUCGAAAGGAUCGAGGAUCACGGAGGAAGGAGGAUCACGAGAGGUGAAGCAUGUGGCAUGGCCGCACGGAGAUGGAUUCCCUUCACAAGAGCUGAAUUAUUUAACCAGAAGGCAUAACAUCGCGGAGUCCAGCAUGUUGGUAUGCACAAGAAGACGGCGGAAAUUAUAGAAGAAUAUAACAGAAGAAUCUUCGAUCUUCUCGUGGUUCUUACAUGGAUUUACAGCGGAUCUCUCAGACGAAAUCCAGAAGAAGCACGAUAGAUCCAGAGAUGGCCGGCUCCAUCUUUCUGCCUGGUUCCGCCCCGAGCGUCUGUGGUUAUCUUUCUUCAUCACGCACACGUUACCUCAGGGGCGGACGAUCUGUCCUCAUUCUCGGUGCCCAUCCCGAGUUCAGGUGAUCGGAAGGAAAAUUGAAGCCAUUAUUUUAUGCCUUCAAUCACAAUUCUCGACUAACAGUCAUGGAUUCUGUUGAUCUCUUGGGCUAGGAGCCUAGGAAGAAGGCGGUGGGGUUCACUGGCUACAGGAAAUAAAUGGCUGCGAAGAAACGUCAACAAAUAAGGCGACCAAGAAACGAUACUAAUUUGAACCUCACUACUGAAACAGCAAUAUGAAAAUCAUUACUUUUUCUCCUUAUCUUACGAAUGAGAGUAUGAAUACGCAUAGGAACUAGCUGGCAUUUUUAUUAUCUUUUGGGAAAUAUGCAUGAAAAUUCCCUGUUCUGAAUGCAUGUGGAAGCGAACUGAAGAAAUGCUAGAGAUGCAGCAGGAAGUAAUAACCUAGGACAAUUACUUUUCUCGGCAUAGAGUUGACUAAAAAGCUGCAAAAAGAUAAUCACCAGGGUAGCAACUCCAAGAAAAUAAUCACCGAAGUCAC